AUGGCAUGAUGAGGGCACUUCCUAAGCAUCUCUUUAAAUAUUUCCUAUACUUCAUAUAUUGACUCUCCAUAAAUUUGGGAAAAUGAAGAUAUUUCGUUCCUAAGCUU
Molecule: small nucleolar RNA, 107 nt
Organism: Dendrobium catenatum
Lineage: Eukaryota; Viridiplantae; Streptophyta; Magnoliopsida; Asparagales; Orchidaceae
Source: RefSeq, a predicted model, not a curated record